GUCGUCGUGAGGCGGGGUCUGAAAGAAGCGUGUGACCAAAGCUAUGAUCUGACGAACAAAAACCAGAUAAUGAGGCCUGUCCCGGCCGGACGAGCGGGCAAAUGAUCGCGAAAUCCAUAACCAUCAAGGUCCGGGGGUGGUAGGUCUGGCAGGUGUGUAGCGAAAGCGGUUCAGCUU
Molecule: non-coding RNA, 177 nt
Organism: Candidatus Burkholderia pumila
Lineage: Bacteria; Pseudomonadati; Pseudomonadota; Betaproteobacteria; Burkholderiales; Burkholderiaceae
Source: Rfam